RNAcentral lists this unclassified non-coding RNA (332 nucleotides) under Hevea brasiliensis (rubber tree). The record is from RNAcentral. Lineage: Eukaryota; Viridiplantae; Streptophyta; Magnoliopsida; Malpighiales; Euphorbiaceae.
AUCACCUAAAAAAGAGUGAUAGAGAGAAAAAUCUCUCUUGUUUGGCUUUUUUCCUCUGCAACUGUGUUUGAUAAAAAUUUUCUCGCUCUCUCUCUUUCCCCCUUCUCUGCAAUUCCCCGCUUCUCUGUAUCCCAUUCUGUCGAUCGUCUGUCUUUCAAGGAAUAUUUUGGGGUUUGUUUUCUUGGUGGGUUUAAGCUUAAAUCCUUUUAGGAAAAACAGGCAAAACAUUUGAAUUGAAAGCCAGGUGAUUCAGAAUAGAGAUCCAGGCUUGUUUUAUAGUUCCCUGUAUUUCUUUCUUUUUCUGUAAGUUUUUAGUUUCAUCAACUUGGAGG